CCUACGGGAGGCAGCAGUGAGGAAUAUUGGUCAAUGGACGAGAGUCUGAACCAGCCAAGUAGCGUGAAGGAUGACUGCCCUAUGGGUUGUAAACUUCUUUUAUAAAGGAAUAAAACGAGGCACGUGUGCCUUUUUGCAUGUACUUUAUGAAUAAGGAUCGGCUAACUCCGUGCCAGCAGCCGCGGUAAUACGGAGGAUCUGAGCGUUAUCCGGAUUUAUUGGGUUUAAAGGGAGCGUAGAUGGGUUGUUAAGUCAGUUGUGAAAGUUUGCGGCUCAACCGUAAAAUUGCAAUUGAUACUGGGAGUCUUGAGUACAGGUGAGGUAGGCGGAAUUCGUGGUGUAGCGGUGAAAUGCUUAGAUAUCACGAAGAACCCCGAUUGCGAAGGCAGCUUACUAAACUGUGACUGACAUUGAUGCUCGAAAGUGUGGGUAUCAAACAGGAUUAGAUACCCUUGUAGUC
This 460-nucleotide ribosomal RNA is filed under the name uncultured bacterium. RNAcentral describes it as "partial 16S ribosomal RNA". It matches the Rfam family "Bacterial small subunit ribosomal RNA", at positions 338 to 795 of the family's 1533-position model. The record is from RNAcentral.